GUUGUAUGGUUAAGUGACUAAGCGUACACGGUGGAUGCCUUGGCAGUCAGAGGCGAUGAAAGACGUAGUAACUUGCGAUAAGCCCAGAUUAGGUAGUAACAACCAUUUGAGUCUGGGAUUUCUGAAUGGGGAAACCCACGUGCAUAAGCACGUAUCCUUACCUGAAUACAUAGGGUAAGGAGGCGAACCGGGGGAACUGAAACAUCUAAGUACCCCGAGGAAAAGAAAUCAACCGAGAUUCCGAAAGUAGCGGCGAGCGAAAUUGGACUAGCCCUUAAGCUUUACACGCGUUAGACGAACGGUCUGGAAAGUCCGACGAUACAGGGUGAUAGUCCCGUAGUUGACGACGUGUGUUCAGUGAAAUCGAGUAGGGCGGGACACGUGAUAUCCUGUCUGAAUAUGGGGGGACCAUCCUCCAAGGCUAAAUACUACUGACUGACCGAUAGUGAACCAGUACCGUGAGGGAAAGGCGAAAAGAACCCCUGUGAGGGGAGUGAAAUAGAACCUGAAACCGUGUACGUACAAGCAGUAGGAGCAGGCUUUGUCCUGUGACUGCGUACCUUUUGUAUAAUGGGUCAGCGACUUAUAUUCAGUGGCAAGGUUAACCAUCUAGGGGAGCCGUAGGGAAACCGAGUCUUAACUGGGCGUUCAGUCUCUGGAUAUAGACCCGAAACCAGGUGAUCUAGCCAUGGGCAGGUUGAAGGUUGAGUAACAU
This 715-nucleotide ribosomal RNA is filed under the name Vibrio parahaemolyticus. RNAcentral describes it as "partial 23S ribosomal RNA". It matches the Rfam family "Bacterial large subunit ribosomal RNA", at positions 1 to 762 of the family's 2925-position model. The record is from RNAcentral. Lineage: Bacteria; Pseudomonadati; Pseudomonadota; Gammaproteobacteria; Vibrionales; Vibrionaceae.